Molecule: ribosomal RNA, 485 nt
Filed under: uncultured bacterium
Lineage: Bacteria
Description: partial 16S ribosomal RNA
Rfam family: Bacterial small subunit ribosomal RNA
Source: RNAcentral
GAUUGAACGCUGGCGGCAUGCUUUACACAUGCAAGUCGAACGGCAGCGCGGGCUUCGGCCUGGCGGCGAGUGGCGAACGGGUGAGUAAUACAUCGGAACGUGCCCAGUAGUGGGGGAUAGCUCGGCGAAAGCCGGAUUAAUACCGCAUACGACCUGAGGGUGAAAGCGGGGGAUCUUCGGACCUCGCGCUAUUGGAGCGGCCGAUGGCAGAUUAGCUAGUUGGUGGGGUAAAGGCCUACCAAGGCGACGAUCUGUAGCUGGUCUGAGAGGACGACCAGCCACACUGGAACUGAGACACGGCCCAGACACCUACGGGAGGCAGCAGUGGGGAAUUUUGGACAAUGGGCGAAAGCCUGAUCCAGCAAUGCCGCGUGUGUGAUGAAGGCCUUCGGGUUGUAAAGCACUUUUGGCGGGAACGAAAAGGACUGUGCCAAUACCACGGUUCGAUGACGGUACCCGCAGAAUAAGCACCGGCUAACUACGUG